RNAcentral lists this transfer RNA (72 nucleotides) under Camelus bactrianus (Bactrian camel). It matches the Rfam family "tRNA". From Rfam's summary of the family: Transfer RNA (tRNA) molecules are approximately 80 nucleotides in length. Their secondary structure includes four short double-helical elements and three loops (D, anti-codon, and T loops). Further hydrogen bonds mediate the characteristic L-shaped molecular structure. tRNAs have two regions of fundamental functional importance: the anti-codon, which is responsible for specific mRNA codon recognition, and the 3' end, to which the tRNAs corresponding amino acid is attached (by aminoacyl-tRNA synthetases). tRNAs cope with the degeneracy of the genetic code in two manners: having more than one tRNA (with a specific anti-codon) for a particular amino acid; and 'wobble' base-pairing, i.e. permitting non-standard base-pairing at the 3rd anti-codon position. Lineage: Eukaryota; Metazoa; Chordata; Mammalia; Artiodactyla; Camelidae. RNAcentral also lists the same sequence under 1 other name. The record is from Rfam by way of RNAcentral.
GAGGCUAUAGCUCAAGUGGUAGAGCACAUGCUUAGCAUGCACAAAGUCCUGGGUUCAAUCCCCAGGACCUCC